RNAcentral lists this long non-coding RNA (1680 nucleotides) under Equus asinus (donkey). Its description in RNAcentral is "lncRNA (ENSEASG00005034776.1)". The record is from RNAcentral. Lineage: Eukaryota; Metazoa; Chordata; Mammalia; Perissodactyla; Equidae.
UAAACAUCCACUUACUCAAGUAUUGGGAAUGUCUUUCUCUUUUUUUCUGAUGAUUAAAGAAUGUUGACUAAAUUAAAUAGAACUCAAGAAAAGCUAGAUGCAAAUGAAAGGAUUCCUCUGCCAACUAAGCUCCCUGAAGAAGUUAGAGGGCAAAAAAACCCCUUCAAUUUUUCUUUUUCCAUCGUCCCGUGUCUUCUGAAGUCACUCUUGAUCUCAUCACAGCACCAGCAUCUAUUUGGAGAAACUGGAGGCUGAAAGAAGAUUUCAUUUCUUCUUGGGGUUGGAAGAGACUUUAGAGAUCUCCAUCCUUGUUCAAGUUCCUCAUUUAAGAAAAGGAGAAUCCAACACCUAGAGCUAACACAAUGCGUCAGGUGGAGCAUUUGUCAGUCUGGGUUCCUGAGUGACUACAAGGAGAAGUCCCCGUGGGUAUGGCUGACAGAAUUACCCCAGGAACUGGAGAACCAAGAUUUGGGCCAGGCAGCAGGACCAAAGCCAAUGUCUUGUGCAACACGAGUGAGAAAUAAAUUUUUGUUUUGUUAAGCCUCUACAAUUUUUAGGCUGUUUGUAACUGUAGCAUAAUUGUAUUAUUGCUACCUACCAGAUUACUGCAAAUUUAGCACUUUUUAGCGACACACAUUUAUUAUCUCAGUUUCCAUGGGUUAGGUUGGGCAUGGCGAGCUGGGUCCUUUGCUUAGGGUCUUGCAAGGCAUAAAUCAAGGUUUCUGUGAGCUGCAUCCUCAUUUGAAGACUCGACUGGGGAAAGAUUCAUUGCCAAGCUUCCACAGGUUGUUGGAAUUUAGUUUGUUGCAGUUGUAUGACUGAGGUCCCUCUGUCCCUUACUAAUUGUCAUCUGGGUGCUGUUCUCAACUCUUUGAGGCUGCCCACAUGCCUGUCCAUGUGGCCUCUUCCAUCUUCAAAGACAGCUACAGAGAAACCUCCUCAUGUCGAUUCCAUCUCACACUUCAAAUCUCCCCAACUUCUCCUGCCUAUGACCUCUAGACCCAGAUAAAGGGUUUAUGUGAUUAGGUCAACCCAUCAGCACAAUUACCCUUUUUUAAAGUCAGCUGUGCCAUAUAAAUCUAUUAUAUUUCUAUGGGGUUUAUACAGACAGUGUACACCAGGGCGUGAGGAUAUUAGGGGACAUCUUAGAAUUCUGCCUAGGACACUAAGCUAACCGAUAUUGGUUGACACUCAUGGGUCAGAUGCAGCAAGAGGACCUGGAAAAGCAGAAGAAUGGAUUCCAUUCUCUUUUUAAUCCCAAUGCAAUUUCUUUUCCUUCACAACCUUUUCUCAGAGUGUAUAUUUUGGGACUUUUCCAUCAAAAAGGACAACAGCUCACAAAACACAUGUGGUUUGGGGGACACAUGGAGUCAACCUAAGGUAUCCCAGGGCUCCAUUGUUCCCUUGAAGUUCUAAGGUCUAUCUCACGCCUCCCCUCUGCCCCAUCAAGACCCUCACACUCUUUGUAACCACAUCUGAGAAGCACAUGUUAAUUAUUAUAAUCUUUCUUGAAAACAAUUUAGAAAUCUCUAUCAGUGAGCCUUAGUAAACUCAAUUCCUGGAAUAAUCAAAAUAAAUGCUCAUAUUUAUGUGCAAGGGGAAGGAUUGCAGGGUUACUUAUCAUCAAAUGAAAAUACACUCAUUAUUCAACCCUUAGAGGGUUGAUAAAUUAGAGGACAA